This 121-nucleotide ribosomal RNA is filed under the name Penicillium olsonii. The record is from RNAcentral. Lineage: Eukaryota; Fungi; Ascomycota; Eurotiomycetes; Eurotiales; Aspergillaceae.
ACAUACGACCACAGGGUGUGGGGAACAGGGCUUCCCGUCCGCUCAGCCGUACUUAAGCCACACGCCGGUGAGUUAGUAGUUGGGUGGGUGACCACCAGCGAAUCCUCACUGUUGUAUGUUU